Molecule: transfer RNA, 73 nt
Filed under: Rickettsiales bacterium Ac37b
Lineage: Bacteria; Pseudomonadati; Pseudomonadota; Alphaproteobacteria; Rickettsiales
Rfam family: tRNA
About the family: Transfer RNA (tRNA) molecules are approximately 80 nucleotides in length. Their secondary structure includes four short double-helical elements and three loops (D, anti-codon, and T loops).
Source: Rfam by way of RNAcentral
GGGCGAUUAGCUCAGUUGGUAGAGCGGCUGACUCUUAAUCAGUAGGUCGAGGGUUCGAACCCCCCAUCGCCCA